This 292-nucleotide ribosomal RNA is filed under the name uncultured bacterium. Its description in RNAcentral is "partial 16S ribosomal RNA". It matches the Rfam family "Bacterial small subunit ribosomal RNA", at positions 505 to 796 of the family's 1533-position model. The record is from RNAcentral.
GUGUCAGCAGCCGCGGUAAUACAGAGACUGCAAGCGUUAUUCGGAUUCACUGGGCGUAAAGGGUGCGCAGGCGGCCAAGUGUGUGAGGCGUGAAAGCCCGGGGCUUAACCCCGGAAUUGCACCUCAAACUACAUGGCUAGAGCAUUGGAGAGGGUAGCAGAAUUCAUGGUGUAGCAGUGAAAUGCGUAGAUAUCAUGAGGAAUACCAGAGGCGAAGGCGGCUACCUGGACAAUUGCUGACGCUCAGGCACGAAAGCGUGGGGAGCAAAAGGGAUUAGAAACCCCUGUAGUCC